RNAcentral lists this long non-coding RNA (933 nucleotides) under Bos grunniens (domestic yak). RNAcentral describes it as "lncRNA (ENSBGRG00000013786.1)". The record is from RNAcentral. Lineage: Eukaryota; Metazoa; Chordata; Mammalia; Artiodactyla; Bovidae.
GAGCGCGCCAAGCUAGCGCGGGCGCCCCUCCCCUGUCACGCCUCGGCCUCCCCGCCGGCCCUGCGGCAGGGGGAUGCUCGCCUGACCCCACCUCCGGCUCCUCCUCAGGCACCAGGCCGGGCGGUGGCCGCCUCCAGCUCACCACCUCCGAGGCCGCACUUCCGGGCAGCGACGCCGGCGGAACUGAAGUCCGCAGAUGCCGCGACGCGGCGAACCACUCGGUCAGAGCACGUUUCCGGCGUUUCCAUGGAGACUAGUCGCCGCCGCCAGGUCGCACUUCCGGCCAAAGUCGCAGGGGGCCGGGGCAACCACGCAGUUUCGCCCUAGCGACGGGGCGGGGGCGGGGCCUGCGCUGUCAAUCUGUAGGCCACGCUCCUCGCAUGUGCUGUCGGGCGGGAGAAGGUUUAAAAAGUAAUAGAAGGGGCUUCCCUGGUGGCUCAGUGGUAAAGAAUCCGCCUGCCAAUGCAGAAGACACUGGUUUGAUCCCUGGUCCUGGAUGAUCCCACAUCCUAUGGAGCAACUUAGCCUGUGUGCCACAACUAUUGAGACUGUGCUCUGGAAUAAAAGUCACAGCACUGAAAAGCCGAGUGUCACAACGGGAGAGUAGUCCCUGCUUGCAGCAACUAAAAAACUCCCUACACAGCAAUGAAGACUCAGUACAGCCAAAAAUAAAUAGGUAAGUUUAGCGACCCCAUAGACUGCAGCCCACCAGGCUCCUCCAUCCAUGGGAUUUUCCAGGCAAGAGUACCGGAGUGGGGUGCCAUUGCCCUCUCCGUUUUAAAAAGUAAUAGACCUCAAAUCUCAUCUUGUAGCCUACAGAACUGGUAUCAUCUUCAAGCAGUUGUCCUUUUACUCACUGACUGAGUGCCCUCUGUGUAGCAGGCCCCAGGUGAGAUGCAGCAGACAGGGCAGUGAUGUAAACAGUUUGGACCU